CCUACGGGUGGCAGCAGUUAGGAAUAUUGGGCAAUGGAGGAAACUCUGACCCAGCAACGCCGCGUGAAGGACGAAGGUUUUCGGAUUUUAAACUUCUGAUCUGUGGGACGAAGAAAGUGACGGUACCACAGGAGCAAGCCACUGCUAACUACGUGCCAGCAGCCGCGUUACGACGUAGGUGGCGAGCGUUGUCAGGAAUAACUGGGCGUCAAGGGAGAGUAGGUGGUUGAUUAAGUUAAAGGUGAACGCCCAGGGCUCAACUCUGGAAUUGCAUUUAAUACUGGUCGGCUAGAGUACAGGAGGGGUCAACGGAAUUUCUAGUGUAGCGGUGAAAUGCGUAGAUAUUAGGAAGAACACCGGAGGCGAAGGCGGUUUACUGGACUGCAACUGACACUGAGGCUCGAAAGCGUGGGGAGCAAACAGGAUUAGAUACCCUAGUAGUC
RNAcentral lists this ribosomal RNA (443 nucleotides) under uncultured bacterium. RNAcentral describes it as "partial 16S ribosomal RNA". It matches the Rfam family "Bacterial small subunit ribosomal RNA", at positions 338 to 795 of the family's 1533-position model. The record is from RNAcentral.